CUUACAAGCUGUGGAAGCACAUUUCUUGUGUGACCGCGUACUUUUUGUAGAACGGGCCAACGAGUUACGUUAAGUAGCAAGGUUAAGCACUUAAGGUGCGGAGCCGUAGCGAAAGCGAGUUUUAACUGAGCGUUCAGUUACUUGACGUAGACCCGAAACCGGGCGACCUACCCAUGAGCAGGAUGAAGCGAAAGUAAAAUUUCGUGGAGGUCCGAACCCACGAGCGUUGAAAAGCUCGGGGAUGACUUGUGGGUAGCGGUGAAAUUCCAAUCGAGCCCGGAGAUAGCUGGUUCUCCCCGAAAUAGCUUUAGGGCUAGCCUCAAGGUGAGAGAUACGGAGGUAGAGCACUGAAUGUCCUAGGGGGUAUUGCACCUACCGAAGACUAUCAAACUCCGAAUGCCGUCAUCUUAUACUUGGGAGUCAGACUGUGGGUGAUAAGAUUCAUAGUCGAAAGGGCAACAGCCCAGAUCGUCAGCUAAGGUCCCUAAAUGUAAGUUAAGUGGUAAAGGAUGUGGGAUUGCACAGACAACCAGGAUGUUGGCUUAGAAGCAGCCACUCAUUCAAAGAGUGCGUAAUAGCUCACUGGUCGAGUGAUCCUGCGCCGAAGAUUUCCGGGGCUAAAACUUACUACCGAAGCUACGGCAUCAGUAAUGAUGGGUAGGGGAGCUUCCCAUACGGGUUGAAGCAUGACCGUAAGGACAUGUGGACAGUAUGGGAGUGAGAAUGUUGGCAUGAGUAGCGAGAUGUGGGUGAGAAUCCCACAGGCCGUAAACCCAAGGUUUCCAGGGGAAGGUUCGUCCGCCCUGGGUUAGUCGGGACCUAAGCUGAGGCCGAAAGGCGUAGGUGAUGGACAACAGG
This 858-nucleotide ribosomal RNA is filed under the name Clostridium sp. HMSC19D02. RNAcentral's name for it is "bacterial LSU rRNA". It matches the Rfam family "Bacterial large subunit ribosomal RNA", at positions 563 to 1429 of the family's 2925-position model. The record is from RNAcentral. Lineage: Bacteria; Bacillati; Bacillota; Clostridia; Eubacteriales; Clostridiaceae.